This 253-nucleotide ribosomal RNA is filed under the name uncultured bacterium. Its description in RNAcentral is "partial 16S ribosomal RNA". It matches the Rfam family "Bacterial small subunit ribosomal RNA", at positions 524 to 776 of the family's 1533-position model. The record is from RNAcentral.
UACGGGGGGUGCAAGCGUUGUUCGGAAUUACUGGGCGUAAAGGGCUCGUAGGCGGCCAACUAAGUCAUACGUGAAAUCCCUCGGCUUAACCGGGGAACUGCGUGUGAUACUGGAUGGCUUGGAUUUGGGAGAGGGAUGCGGAAUUCCAGGUGUAGCGGUGAAAUGCGUAGAUAUCUGGAGGAACACCGGUGGCGAAGGCGGCAUCCUGGACCAAUAUUGACGCUGAGGAGCGAAAGCCAGGGGAGCAAACGGG